CUUAGCGAAAACUUACAGCCCUUGACAUGUGACUCGCCGGCUCCAGAGAUGGAGCCUUCGGUUCGGCCGGAGUCAGCACAGGUGCUGCAUGGCUGUCGUCAGCUCGUGUCGUGAGAUGUUGGGUUAAGUCCCGCAACGAGCGCAACCCUCGUCUCCAGUUGCCAUCAGGUUAUGCUGGGCACUUUGGAGAAACUGCCGGUGACAAGCCGGAGGAAGGUGGGGAUGACGUCAAGCCCUCAUGGCCCUUACGGGCUGGGCUACACACGUGCUACAAUGGCGGUGACAAUGGGAUGCGAUGGCGCGAGCCGGAGCCGAUCCUAAAAAACCGUCUCAGUUCGGAUUGCACUCUGCAACUCGAGUGCAUGAAGUUGGAAUCGCUAGUAAUCGAGGAUCAGCAUGCCUCGGUGAAUACGUUCCCGGGUCUUGUACACACCG
This 435-nucleotide ribosomal RNA is filed under the name uncultured bacterium. Its description in RNAcentral is "bacterial SSU rRNA". It matches the Rfam family "Bacterial small subunit ribosomal RNA", at positions 957 to 1392 of the family's 1533-position model. The record is from RNAcentral.